This is a long non-coding RNA of Oreochromis aureus, 1358 nucleotides long. The record is from Ensembl. NCBI's taxonomy places the organism in Eukaryota, Metazoa, Chordata, Actinopteri, Cichliformes, Cichlidae.
CAGCAGUAAACCAUCAGAGCCUCAUCAUGAAAGUCCAUCACACUCUGAUCUGCUUCUUCUUCCUUUAUUCAACUGGGUUUGUCAAAGCCAGCAUUUGGAUUGUACCUGAAGGAGGGAAUUUAUCACUUUAUAAUCGCUUCACUGUGUCUGGAAACAUAAAGUUCUUCUGUAAGGAAAAAUGUGAGAGAGCAGAAAACAUCCUCAUUAAAACAGAUGAAACCACAGCUCAGAGCGGCAGAUUCAGCAUUGAAUACAAAAAUGCAUCUUCAGGAAGAGGAAGGCUGUCUUUCACCAUCACACAUAUGAUUAAGUCUGACUCAGGAAUGUAUCGGUUUGGUUUGGGUAAAUCUUCAGCUCCAGAUUCAUACUCAGACCUUGAGGUCAGAGUUUCAAAUGAAUUUAAUAAAAGCUCUGGAUUCUUCCGUGCGCAGACUGAGGGAGAAGAAAUCUCAUUUCCAUGUGCCAAUGCUGUCAAUGGACAGAGGAAGUUCCUUUGUAAGAAUCCGUGUGAAAAAGAAGGAAAUAUUUUCAUUGACACAACUAAUGACAAAGCUGAGAAUGGCAGGUACAGUAUCGAAUACACAAAAGGAUCUGCGUUUGGACUGUAUGCAACCAUCAGACAGCUGACCAAGUCUGACACGGGACAGUACUGGUGUGGUUACGGCGACCCUUUGUCUCCUGAUUCAUACCACACUGAAAAUAUUUUUGUCGUAGGGGCUUCAAACCCCCACACCUCUGCACCACCAACAACGCAGACUCAGAGUUUCACUUCAGCCGUCUCCACACCUUCAUCAGAGUCUUCCAAUUCCUUCUUGCCUCUGGUUGUCUGUGUGAUAGUUGGUAUUUUACUGUUAUUGGUUUUACUGGUGCUCCUCUACAUUUGGAAGAAAAAGAAAAACUUUGGACAGAGCCUUAGUGAAACUGCUGGUGACACAAGAAUGCAGGUAUCAGCCACAUAAGAAAACUGUGGUCCAACCUCCAAACAUGAAGACUUCAAAGUUCCAGGAACAAACCUGCUCUGCAUUUAUAACGCCAGAAAUAUGGAAAAAUACAUUGCAAUGCAGCACUUGAGGUAUAAUCAAAACUUGUCCCAUACAAACCAAGAACCUUGCUCAUCCUCCAAAGUCAUCUCCUCUUCCACCUCCACAGCACGCUGACAUUCAUGUGGAACGUCCCAACAUCCAGCAGUUUUCAGUAGUUUUUCUUUUUUAUUUGAAGACUCCACAGUUGUGAAAUCUGAGUGCAGUGUGUCAGAGAAGAUGCAUGAUCAAGAGCAUGAUGACUGAUUUUUUUAAUUUUUAUUUUCAGUAUUUUCAAUAUUCAGUAACAGCUGAAAGCAUUUGAGGGAAAACAGUGAG